RNAcentral lists this ribosomal RNA (503 nucleotides) under uncultured bacterium. Its description in RNAcentral is "partial 16S ribosomal RNA". It matches the Rfam family "Bacterial small subunit ribosomal RNA", at positions 30 to 523 of the family's 1533-position model. The record is from RNAcentral.
AUUGAACGCUGGCGGCAGGCUUAACACAUGCAAGUCGAGCGGGGGAGGUUACUUCGGUAAUUGACCUAGCGGCGGACGGGUGAGUAAUACUUAGGAAUCUGCCUAUUAAUGGGGGACAACAUCUCGAAAGGGAUGCUAAUACCGCAUACGCCCUACGGGGGAAAGCAGGGGAUCACUUGUGACCCUGCGUUAAUAGAUGAGCCUAAGUCGGAUUAGCUAGUUGGUGGGGUAAAGGCCUACCAAGGCGACGAUCUGUAGCGGGUCUGGGAGGAUGAUCCGCCACACUGGGACUGAGACACGGCCCAGACUCCUACGGGAGGCAGCAGUGGGGAAUAUUGGACAAUGGGGGGAACCCUGAUCCAGCCAUGCCGCGUGUGUGAAGAAGGCCUUAUGGUUGUAAAGCACAUUAAGCGAGGAGGAGGCUCUUUUGGUUAAUACCCAAGAUGAGUGGACGUUACUCGCAGAAUAAGCACCGGCUAACUCUGUGCCAGCCGCCGCAGUAA